AAUAUUGCUGCCGGAUUAUUAUCUGUCUCAAUGAAGCCAGGAUCAAGAGACAAAGUGUUCCUCAUGGGAAUAAACACUGCAUUCAUGCAUGAACAUAAUAACUUGUGUUUUAUUUUGCAGGUAUCAGUUCUAACGUGCUUGAUUAUUUCAGGAAUCAUUGCUCGUGCUCGUAGAGUUGUACCUUUGCACUCAACACACCCUCACAGAUACUUUACCCGACGCAAUACUCCCAGACUGAUGGAUCUCCCUAACACAGAUAUUCUCG
This 265-nucleotide long non-coding RNA is filed under the name Lathyrus oleraceus (garden pea). Its description in RNAcentral is "Pisum sativum (pea) long non-coding RNA (PSAT_LNC026882)". The record is from RNAcentral. Lineage: Eukaryota; Viridiplantae; Streptophyta; Magnoliopsida; Fabales; Fabaceae.